CUUAACACAUGCAAGUCGAUCGGUAACAGGUGUAGCAAUACAUGCUGACGAGAGGCGGACGGGUGAGGAACGCUUGGGAAUCUGCCUAUCAGCGGGGGACAACCCGGGGAAACUCGGGCUAAUACCGCAUACGCUCUACGGAGGAAAGCCGGGGACCGCAAGGCCUGGCACUGAUAGAUGAGCCCAAGUCGGAUUAGCUAGUUGGCGGGGUAACGGCCCACCAAGGCGACGAUCCGUAGCUGGUCUGAGAGGACGAUCAGCCACACCGGAACUGAGACACGGUCCGGACUCCUACGGGAGGCAGCAGUGGGGAAUAUUGGACAAUGGGCGAAAGCCUGAUCCAGCGACGCCGCGUGGGUGAAGAAGGCCUGCGGGUUGUAAAGCCCUUUCGGUAGGGACGAAAGCUCUUGCUCUAACACGGCAGGAGGUUGACUUAACCUACAUAAGAAGCACCGGCUAACUCUGUGCCAGCAGCCGCGGUAAUACAGAGGGUGCGAGCGUUAAUCGGAAUUACUGGGCGUAAAGCGCACGUAGUCGGCUUGGCAAGUCGGGUGUGAAAUCCCCGGGCUCAACCUGGGAACUGCAUCCGAGACUGCCUUGCUAGAGUAUGGGAGAGGGAAGCGGAAUUUCUGGUGUAGCAGUGAAAUGCGUAGAUAUCAGAAGGAACAUCAGUGGCGAAGGCGGCUUCCUGGACCAAUACUGACGAUCAGGUGCGAAAGCGUGGGGAGCAAACAGGAUUAGAUACCCUGGUAGUCCACGCCCUAAACGAUGACAACUGGAUGUCGGGAGGGUUUGCCUUCCGGUGUCGUAGCUAACGCGUUAAGUUGUCCGCCUGGGAAGUACGGCCGCAAGGUUGAA
RNAcentral lists this ribosomal RNA (858 nucleotides) under uncultured bacterium. Its description in RNAcentral is "bacterial SSU rRNA". It matches the Rfam family "Bacterial small subunit ribosomal RNA", at positions 47 to 898 of the family's 1533-position model. The record is from RNAcentral.